This 484-nucleotide ribosomal RNA is filed under the name uncultured bacterium. RNAcentral's name for it is "partial 16S ribosomal RNA". It matches the Rfam family "Bacterial small subunit ribosomal RNA", at positions 30 to 507 of the family's 1533-position model. The record is from RNAcentral.
AUUGAACGCUGGCGGCAGGCCUAACACAUGCAAGUCGAGCGGAUGAAGGGAGCUUGCUCCUGGAUUCAGCGGCGGACGGGUGAGUAAUGCCUAGGAAUCUGCCUGGUAGUGGGGGAUAACGUCCGGAAACGGGCGCUAACACCGCAUACGGCCUGAGGGAGAAAGUGGGGGAUCUUCGGACCUCACGCUAUCAGAUGAGCCUAGGUCGGAUUAGCUAGUUGGUGGGGUAAAGGCCUACCAAGGCGACGAUCCGUAACUGGUCUGAGAGGAUGAUCAGUCACACUGGAACUGAGACACGGUCCAGACUCCUACGGGAGGCAGCAGUGGGGAAUAUUGGACAAUGGGCGAAAGCCUGAUCCAGCCAUGCCGCGUGUGUGAAGAAGGUCUUCGGAUUGUAAAGCACUUUAAGUUGGGAGGAAGGGCAGUAAGUUAAUACCUUGCUGUUUUGACGUUACCAACAGAAUAAGCACCGGCUAACUUCGUG